GGGCACUCUGGAGAAACUGCCCGUGAUAAGCGGGAGGAAGGUGUGGAUGACGUCAAGUCCUCAUGGCCCUUACGGGUUGGGCUACACACGUGCUACAAUGGUAGUGACAAUGGGUUAAUCCCAAAAAGCUAUCUCAGUUCGGAUUGGGGUCUGCAACUCGACCCCAUGAAGUCGGAAUCGCUAGUAAUCGCGUAACAGCAUGACGCGGUGAAUACGUUCCCGGGCCUUGUACACACCGCCCGU
Molecule: ribosomal RNA, 243 nt
Filed under: uncultured Alphaproteobacteria bacterium
Lineage: Bacteria; Pseudomonadati; Pseudomonadota; Alphaproteobacteria
Description: partial 16S ribosomal RNA
Rfam family: Bacterial small subunit ribosomal RNA
Source: RNAcentral